RNAcentral lists this ribosomal RNA (450 nucleotides) under uncultured bacterium. RNAcentral's name for it is "bacterial SSU rRNA". It matches the Rfam family "Bacterial small subunit ribosomal RNA", at positions 329 to 794 of the family's 1533-position model. The record is from RNAcentral.
UUCCAGACUCCUACGGGAGGCAGCAGUGGGGAAUAUUGGGCAAUGGACGCAAGUCUGACCCAGCAACGCCGCGUGAAGGAAGAAGGCUUUCGGGUUGUAAACUUCUUUUAAGGGGGAAGAGCAGAAGACGGUACCCCUUGAAUAAGCCACGGCUAACUACGUGCCAGCAGCCGCGGUAAUACGUAGGUGGCAAGCGUUGUCCGGAAUUACUGGGUGUAAAGGGAGCGCAGGCGGGAAGCCAAGUCAGCUGUGAAAACUACGGGCUUAACUUGUAGACUGCAGUUGAAACUGGUUUUCUUGAGUGAAGUAGAGGUUGGCGGAAUUCCGAGUGUAGCGGUGAAAUGCGUAGAUAUUCGGAGGAACACCGGUGGCGAAGGCGGCCAACUGGGCUUUAACUGACGCUGAGGCUCGAAAGUGUGGGGAGCAAACAGGAUUAGAUACCCGCGUACU